Beta vulgaris subsp. vulgaris (sugar beet) is the source of this 6816-nucleotide long non-coding RNA. RefSeq lists it as hypothetical. The record is from RefSeq and is a predicted model, not a curated record. NCBI's taxonomy places the organism in Eukaryota, Viridiplantae, Streptophyta, Magnoliopsida, Caryophyllales, Amaranthaceae. The transcript has 3 exons.
GUUUUGCGUAGCGUACGCUUGCAUCAAAUCCGAAAGUUGAACAACCCUAAAUUUCUAUAAAUAAAAAGGGCCAGCCGCCCUGCUCUAUACUCCUCAUCCAUGUAAAAACCCGCUCUUCAACUAUAAAAUCCCCACCACCUCUAUAGUCUAUCCCCAUUAUGUGUCGCUUACCCCUACAAACCCUAAUUCCUUCCUUUCCAUCGUUACUGCGCAGCGCCAGUUUUCUUCCCCAUUUUUUUUCUUUACAUUUUGAAGUUCAAGAUAUUGUCGAAUUGACUGAAAAUGAUGAUAAUGAUUGUCGCCCCAGUCUUACAAAGCAUCUCCAAUAGAUGCUUUUAAUGUGGUGAUUGACCUUUUUUAUCUGAUUCCAGAUGUUUCUUAUUUAUUUCAAUUCUUCUUUAAUAUUUGAUUUUACAUAUUAUCAAGGAGAUAUGAUGAUGAAAUUUACCCAUUAUUGUUUUUCCUGAAUCAUUGUUGAUGAAUCACUUUUCAACAUGCACUACCAUCUGAUCUCCCUUGCGUUUUCAUCAAUUUUUUUUUUUUUUUUUUUUGUAUUUUACUUUCGUUAUUUAUUUUGUGUAAUCAAUGAUGAAACUUUAUAAAAUAACCUAAUUCUCCAGUGAUUAUUUUUCAAUGAUAUGCGCACAAUCUAAAAUUCUGAGAUUACACAAAAUCAAAAUAAAUUAUUUUCAUUGCAAUCAAUGAUGAAAAAUUCCGAAAUUAUCCUGAGUAAUUUUCAGUGAUUAAUUCGUUUAAUAUCACCAUCUUUCGGCUGAGAUUGCAUUUUUUUUAUAACUUUGAAAUAAUUUGCCUGAGGUAUCUAUUGCCUAAUCUUGUGGUUUGGCAAAUCGUUUGUAGGGCGGAAAUUGCUAACAGAUUUUGCGACACAGAUUGCUUAAUAUACUUCAUAAGUUUUCUGUUACUUUUUUCUCUGUUUACAUAUCAUUAUAUUUUUGCCAUUUCUCAAAUUAUUAUUUUAGCAUUUUUUUUUCUUUUUUAUGGAGAUUGCUAACCUCGCUUUUUUCUCAUGUGAUUGGAGUGAAAUAGAGAAAGAAAAAACAAGGUAUGAUUGGAUGUUAACGAACACGUAUUUAUGAAAACGCCACUGAGAUUGACAAUUUUGGCAAUCUCAUUGAUGUAAUGAGCAUUUGAUUAAUAAAUAUAAAUCAAGUGAAUUUGAUUAAUAAUCUUUUGGUUUACGGGGCUGAAGUUUGACUCUUUGGCUGUUACAAUGCUUUAUGAGAUGAAUGCAGCACCCAAUAACAAAUACGAAGUUGACCAGUUUGUAAUUUAAUUCUUCUAAUUGUUGGCAAUUAGCAGAAAAUUUAUAGGCUGGAACAUUUUAUCUCAAAUUCUCACCAGUUUUUGAUAAUUAUCUAAUACUACAUACUCUAUUUGAGAGUUCCAGAGGAUUUCAAAUUCAUCAUUUCAAAAUUCACUAUAUUGUUUGGAAAAAAAGUGAAAUUAUAACAUAGAAUUUGGAGAAUUAACUAUAGAGAGUGGAUGUAGAUGGUUAACAAUUUUGAGCUUUAGUGGGAAUUUUAAUGGUGGCUGUUGUUAGAAGGUGGAAAGACUGAUGGGAAGAUGAAAAGAAAAUAUAAAUGUGGAUAUUUUCGGAGCACCAACAAAGUUAUACGAAUUUUAAAUACUAUAUGAUUGUAGUGAAUUUAAAAUUUUAACUUAUUUCUAAAAUGUGUGGAUUUGAGCCAAAUUCAAAUGCAAAUACUUAGGAUAUCCAAACUACUCAUUUAGCUCAAUUUCAUCAUUUGAAAUGAAAUGUUAGAACCCAAAUAGAGCAUUAAUGAAUUUGGUCCUUGUAUUAAAUUUAGGGGUUGUUUGGUUCAAGGUAUAGAAUGAAAAGGAAAUGAAAACAAAUAAAGAAGGGAAAUGGUAAUGAAAAUGAUUACAUUUAUUGGGUGUUUGGUUCAAGCCAUGGAAUGGAAACGAAAUGGCAACCAUUACCACCAAUUAAUGGAUUUUGUUACUUGAGGGAGAGGGGAGGUAACAAAUUGGGGGUAUUAUCACCAAGUAAUGGUAAUAAAUUGGUAAGGGGUUGAACCAAAUAUGAAGAAAGGGAACCAGGAUUUAAUUUUGUUUCUUGGACCUUAAAAUAGUGAACCAAACGAGUUCUUAGUAAUGAAUGAACUAUUACCGAAACGGUAAUCAUAUUACCAAAUAAUAAGGCUGUUCAGUGAGCUAUAGUAAGUAACAAGGCAAUUGAUACUUGAUUUGAUGGUGAAGAUUAACAUGAGUAUGGCUUUGUAUGUAAUCAUGUGCUUAAUUUUAGAAUCACUAUGGACUCUUAAGGGUUGUUUGGUUCAAUAUAUGAAAUGGAAAGGGAAUGUAUACAAAUAAAUGAGGAGAAUGAUAACAAAAAUGGUUACCUUAAUUGAGUGUUUGGUUCAAGCCAAGUAAUGGAGAUGAAGGGUAACCAUUACCUUUAAGUAAUGGAUUUUGUUACUUGAGGAGAAAGGGAAGGUAGCAAAUUAGGAGAAUCUAUUAACAUCAAGUAAUGGUAAGAGAUUGAUGUGGGGUUGAACCAAACAAUUAGAAAGGGAUUUGGUAAUUGAUUUUGUUUCUUGAAACCCAAAAAUAAUGAUACAAACGACCCCUUAGUGCAUGUUUGUUUCAACUCAUAAAAUAAAACGGGAAUUGAAUUUAAUAGAGAUGAGGAAUCGUAAUUGUAAUUGUUAUUUUUUUUGAGUGUUUGGUUAUACAAUGGAACGGAAACACUUAUGAAUGCCAAAAAUUAAUGUAAUAGUGUGGAGAACGCCUAAAAUAAACACUUUCCUUAUUUUCAAUAGAGUGGAGAAUGCCAAAAAUAUAAUACAUAUGUUGCAAAAAUUAAUGGAGGCAAAAAAGUAGAAAUUUCAACUUUGAGAGGAAAUCAAAAUUAGGAUAAUGAAAAUCACUAUUAAUUUUAUACUUCCUCCAUUUUGUUUUAAAUAAAUGUUUCCUUUUUCAUGCAAUGCAACAUACUUUUUAAAUAUUUAAUAUCUUUAGUUGUGCACACGUAAACAUAUAUAAAAGUUAUAAUUUAAUAGUAUGUAUUGAGAUGAAUCUAACAAGAUCUCAUUUGACUAUAUUUUUCUUUAUAUAAUGAUGUAACUUUGAGUCAAAAUUGAUCAAUGAAUAAUGUUAUUUCACCCCGUGCUUAAUUUAAAAUAGAACGGAGGAAAUAUCAUAAUUGCAUCAAUCAAAAUCAAAAUUAGUAAUCAUGAGAUGAUGAUGUUAUGGUUGACAUUUGCAAAUUAGUAAUCAUGAGUUGUGUACUUGUGUAUGGUAGAAGAGAAGAGCUUGGGCUAUUGAAUAUUAUGAGGCUUUAGAGAAAAUAUGCAUCACUCGAAAUUAAUGUAAUCUGCUAUUCCAAACAAAGGUAACAAAUUAGGAGAUUCAAUUAUCCUUAAAUUACAGUAAUUGAAUUAGAAAAGAAUUCGAAGAGAAAGAGCCGAUCCCCGAGGGCUAGGUUCAAGGGAGUUUACUUGCUCGACCAAAGGGAGAGGUAUUUAAUUGCGUUGCUCGACUCCUCAUUGUUUCUCAGGAAGAAUUUUGACCAGGAUCUAGUGACAAGAAAGGAAUUAAACAUACAAGUUCCUCAGUGAUAAGUUGGGUGCUUUAAGCAAGCACUCAACCAUGAAUCUCACAUCGGGUUUUGAGAUAUGGGCAAAGGAAUGCUCCUUAGCUAUUUCAACUCAAAAAAGAGCUAUGAGAGAUGCAGCAAAACAACUUGUUAGUUGGAGAAUAUUACUGCAAACUGAAGUUUAUGUGGGAUUAGAAUGAAGAAUGGGAAGAGAUGGAAAGAAAUAUAGCUUCACUCCUACCAACACAUGAAGAACACAAUUGCUUAUGUGAUAUUGUUUCUAAGCUAAAAAAAGGGCAACCAAACAUGAUCUUGGUGUUUAUGAGCAUGGUUUUGUUUAAUAAUUAGUUGUUAGCUUAAUCUGUCAUGUUUCUAGUCAUUAUCAAGAUUAUUUGAUGACAAGAAAGCACUACAUCUUUAUAAAACAAGAUUGUUCACCACUCCUAUGAGUCACUUUAUUUAUGCAGUAUUUCAUGCACAACUCUUAUGAAGAUAGCCCACACAAGAAAGGAGUGUCCUAUCAAGCUUGGACCAGUGAUAUUUCCUCUAUUUGUCUAGAUCUGUGCAUGACUUUUCUAAGGCAUAUUUUUAAACGCCUUCAUAACUCUAUCGCCAUAGGUUGUGUCACUUGAGAGCUUUGAUACAUCUUUCUUCGGCAGGUGAUUUCGUUGGGUUCUUAAUUUUGGAUGUAUUAGCGGGUUUGAUUAGUUGAGUAUAGAAGUGUUCUACGGGUCGGACUCGGGUUGACCUUACUUUGUCGGGUCGGACUCGGGCCACAUACAUAAGAUACAUGGGUUGGGCUGGAUUAGCCUAGCUCGACCAAUUGGACAACUUAUUAUUUUUGCUGUGUUUUAAAAUGGAGAUAUAAUGUCAAAAUUGAACACAUAUUCAAUCUAAUAGUUUCCACAAACUCGACUUUUUUCCUCUUCAAUUUUUCCAUAAAAAGCAUUUGUAAGUUGGUGAAGAAUAAGUUACUGAUACUUCUCUCGAAGAAAGAAGAAAGAAAAGAAAAGAGUUUGAUGUGUCAAACUUGUCUGAAAAGCAUUUCAUUUUAUAAAAAAAGCAAACCUAUUUUCUCUCUCCUCACUAGUGGAAAAAACCUUAUAUGUUACUUAGUAGCAUAUUCGGUUUUAACAAAACCGUAUCGGAAAAUCAACAUAAAAAUGGGAUGGAAAGCUGCGAGGACAAUAUGAUGCGGUCCUUUUGUUGACCGCAUCAUAUUUUAGAAACUGAUGCGGUUUUCUAUUAACCGACACGGUUCAUAUGACUGCAUCAGUUAAUCACCUUUUUUUCUCCAAACAAAAUCGGAUAACAAGGCCCAAAACGCGGGUCUUUAAUGGUUUUGAAAGAAUUCUGUUUCAUUGGUAAUAUAGAUUGUUGAGUGGGCCAAAAUGAUAAGGCCCUUCCCUCACUUCACUCAUCUGAAUUCGCCCCUCUCACUUUCUUCCCCUAAAUUCAUCGAGAUAUGUCUUUCUCUCUCCUAUAAUUUCCAAUCUUCUUUUACCUAAUUCAACCUUCUUUAUUUAUCUUUUCAUUUUCAAAAUUUGUUCUCAAAGAAUUGAAUUUCGAUGAGAAAUCGCCAGAAAAAAGCGAAAAUCUAGGGAUAUGAUUUCGCAUUUGGUUUUUUGUUGUUGUUGUUUCGAUUGUGGAGGUUUGAUUGAAGUUGAAGAUUGAAAAAGAAGAUUGUGGUGGAGCGAAGUGGUCGGAAUUUUCGCAGACACAACACGAAACCCCAUCUUUCGGAUUUUCGCAGAUCCAUCUUCUCCAUUAAUGCCGGUGUUUUCUUCUACACACGGUGUUGGUCACUUUCUCUAUUAGUCUCUCAUUCUUUCUUGAUUUUUGUGUUUUUUUUUGUCAUUUGUAAUUGCAAUUGCUAAAUUGUAGAAUGGAAAAUUAGGGUUAUUUGGAAUUUUUGGUAUUAAGUUCAAAUUCUGUUAAUUAUGAGUUAAAAAGAAUGAUAAUUGAGAAUUUGGAUAUGUUGGGUUGUUGAAUUUGAGCAUAUUCAUUUCAUUUUUGUUGGGUUGUAUGAAGAUUGCUGUAAUUUUACUAAUAUUAAUUGAUUUUUAAAUUAAGGGUCUUUUUUCUUGCUUUGUUGCAAUUUGUAUUGUUAAUGAUGUGUUUCGGAUGGUUUCAAUUAUGUAUAUAGGCAUUAGUAUAUUUACAUUGACGAAUCAUGAGAGCUCUUGUGUACUUUCCUUUUGGUUGAUAACUUUCUAGUUAAGCACUUCCUAAGUAAAACAAAUUUGAGCUACAUAUGCUAGCUCUAGUUCAUUGUAUGGAUUAUUCUUGUAGAUUUCAUCAUCUGAACUCCUCUUGUUCUUGUUAGCCAAUUUAUGCACUAUUCUUUGGGGGUAUUGAUCUUGGCUCUACUUGAAUUGAUCUAUAGUGAUUAUGAAAUUCAAAGUCAGUUAGUAAACAGAGCAACCUGCUGAUGAAAACAUAUCUUGCAGCAUGAUUCACAAAGUCAUGAGGAGUCUACAAGAAGCAAGGAAAAAGAAAGGGAAAAAGACAGAGACAAAGAAGGGAAGAAGGACAGAGACAUAGAUAAAGACUGAGAAAAGAGUAGGGACAGAGAUAGAGACAAAGAAAGGAGUAGGGACAGGGAUAUGGAUAGGGAUAGAGAGUAUGAUCGCCAUAUAGCGCCCGACAUAGAGAAAGGAGUGAGAGAAGGCAGCGAAGCAGAGGCGUGGAAGAUGAUGAUUAUUACCAUAGUAGCCGAGAUUAUGACAGGUUCACGCUCUUGUUCAAGGUCAAGAUCGCGAUCACGUUCUCGUUCUAAGAGGUUAUCAACGACAAGUUUGGCAUUGUUAAGGGUCUUAUUGUCAGACUUGAGAAGGGUGCUAGCUAUAAUGACAAUAAUGACAAUAAGGCUGCCAUUAUUGCCAUCUUAUCUCAUUUGUUGUGCAAUAUGAUGCCUAGUGGCCUACUAUGUAUGCUGAUGGUUAUUUUGGAUCGUCUGAAUUUAUGAAUUUAAUUUUUCAUCUUUUUUUUGUGGUUAUUAGGCGGAAUCAGAAGCAAACUUUAUAUUGGCAACUAUGGCAUUUAAACAAGGAGUAACUUAUUGUUAAUAUUGAAGUUAUACAAUUCCAUCUCACAUAGUAUGGCUAUGUUGCACAUUUAUAUGCACUAGUUUAUUCUAUUUGCCCAAUAUAAAGAUGUGCAACAUCAUACAGGGUAAUUAGUUGACACUCCGAUCAUCUUACAAUUCUGAACUCUAUAUGCGCGACAGUGGUAGC